ACAAAAGAAUGAAUGAGACCUCGAUAUUAUGUAAAUAGAGGAAUUUAUCUAUAAAUAUAUAAUGUAGGACAAUCAGUUAGUUGUCAUAAUAAUACUCAGUUUUAGAUGCCCCAGUUAAAAGCUUCUAGGUAUUUUCAUCAGUGAUUAAGACAAGAAUGCUAUCCAAAAAAAAUGUUAAAUAAA
This is a long non-coding RNA of Octopus sinensis (East Asian common octopus), 183 nucleotides long. RefSeq lists it as uncharacterized. The record is from RefSeq and is a predicted model, not a curated record. The transcript is spliced from 3 exons. NCBI's taxonomy places the organism in Eukaryota, Metazoa, Mollusca, Cephalopoda, Octopoda, Octopodidae.